AUGCAGUCGAACGGUAGGUUUUUCUUCGGAGAGACCGAGAGUGGCGCACGGGUGCGUAACACGUAUGCAACCUACCUCUUACAGGGGGAUAGCCCGGAGAAAUUCGGAUUAAUACCCCAUGGCAUCAAGCGAUCGCAUGGUUGUUUGAUUAAAGAUUCAUCGGUAAGAGAUGGGCAUGCGUCUGAUUAGCUAGUUGGCGGGGUAACGGCCCACCAAGGCAACGAUCAGUAGGGGUUCUGAGAGGAAGGUCCCCCACACUGGCACUGAGAUACGGGCCAGACUCCUACGGGAGGCAGCAGUAGGGAAUAUUGGGCAAUGGACGAGAGUCUGACCCAGCCAUGCCGCGUGCAGGAAGACGGCCUAUUGGGUUGUAAACUGCUUUUAUCUGGGAAGAAAAAGCCCAUGCGUGGGAAACUGCCGGUACCAGAUGAAUAAGCACCGGCUAACUCCGUGCCAGCAGCCGCGGUAAU
Molecule: ribosomal RNA, 470 nt
Filed under: Algoriphagus zhangzhouensis
Lineage: Bacteria; Pseudomonadati; Bacteroidota; Cytophagia; Cytophagales; Cyclobacteriaceae
Description: bacterial SSU rRNA
Rfam family: Bacterial small subunit ribosomal RNA
Source: RNAcentral